ACCCGUCAAUUCAUUUAAGUUUCAGCCUUGCGACCGUACUCCCCAGGCGGAGUGCUUAAUGCGUUAGCUUCGGCACUGAGUUAUCCCAAUACCUAGCACUCAUCGUUUACGGCGUGGACUACCAGGGUAUCUAAUCCUGUUUGCUACCCACGCUUUCGCAUCUCAGCGUCAAUUACUGUCCAGCAAGCUGCCUUCGCCAUUGGUGUUCCUCCAUAUAUCUACGCAUUCCACCGCUACACAUGGAAUUCCACUUGCCCCUCCAGUAUUCUAGUUUACCAGUAUCCAAUGCAAUUUAGUGGUUGAGCCACUAGCUUUCACACCAGACUUAAUAAACCGCCUACAUGCUCUUUACGCCCAAUAAUUCCGGAUAACGCUCGGGACCUACGUAUUACCGCGGCGG
This 400-nucleotide unclassified non-coding RNA is filed under the name uncultured Mycoplasmataceae bacterium. RNAcentral describes it as "contains 16S-23S intergenic spacer region". Lineage: Bacteria; Bacillati; Mycoplasmatota; Mollicutes; Mycoplasmatales; Mycoplasmataceae. The record is from RNAcentral.